Molecule: long non-coding RNA, 640 nt
Organism: Astyanax mexicanus (Mexican tetra)
Lineage: Eukaryota; Metazoa; Chordata; Actinopteri; Characiformes; Acestrorhamphidae
Exons: 3
Source: RefSeq, a predicted model, not a curated record
GCAACAAACUAUUAUAAAAUAUGAUUAAAUACCCAAUGGAAGGUAGCCCUGGUGGGCAAGACUUCACACUGAUGGGAAACUAGGAUUGGGGGGCACGCCCAUUAUGCAAAUAAAUUAUGCUGAACAUUUUGGUUUAAACUGAAAUAUUUAACUCUGUCUAUAAUAUUUUCAUAGGUUUCAUAGGUUCAUACUAGGUAAUUGAUUUCUGCUGUUGGCUGCUGCCACUGUUGGGUAACUGCAGAUCUGCAGAUAUGCAGUGCUUGUGUAUUUAAAACUAACUAAUGUGGGAAGUGAAGUGAGUACAAGUCAGCAAAGCCAUGUCUAAAAAAAUAUCCCUGUGGAGUAGAAGAAAAGGAAAAAAAGAAGCUGGAAGAAGAGAAUAAAGAGCGAGACUAAGAGCACAUUUCGACUCAAUAAAUGAUCAACCAAUGAUGGUGCCACCUCUACCAAUCAGCAGAGGAACGUUGGGUUACAAAUCCACAAGUAGCUGCUAUGUUUCAUGUGUUCUCCAGUGAAAUAGGCCCUCUGGGUAGCGCCUCUGGUGACUACUGCCCCCAAGGCUGCAGGGCUUUGGCAAGGGAAUACUGCCGUCUGGUGGAGGGUGGCAGUAUAGAAGAUCAUUUUUCAUUUGCCUUCCUGC